Ursus maritimus (polar bear) is the source of this 751-nucleotide long non-coding RNA. Lineage: Eukaryota; Metazoa; Chordata; Mammalia; Carnivora; Ursidae. The record is from Ensembl.
GGCCUGGAGCGGGAGCCGGACCUUCACAGUGGAGCCCAGGUGGAGGCUGAGAGCCUGCGGGUCCCAAGCGGCGGCAGCGGGAGGUGCUCUGGAGAAGGACGAGGCCUCUCAGGCAGCAGCGCGGGACACCCGCCUGGCAGGCCCCGGGGAAGGGAUGUCAGUGGCAGCAUCUAUGCCCCGUGGGGAUGGCAGCAGCAGCAAAGGCGGGAACGCGGACAGCGAUGCAGACGCUCCGGGCGGAUAUAAAGAGACGGCACUGCAGCUGCACGAACCAAAGCCAGGUCUCGGGCCCCUUGGCCUCGGCCCCCCGAGGAUGGAAGCGGCCAGGACAAGCCGAAGCCCCCUGGCUUCACCCAGGGAGCUGCCCAGGAGGGCUGGAGCUGCUGGUGACCGGGGCGCUGGGGACGGCGGGUCCCAGCCACCCCAGCUCUGGCCGCAGGCCCCUCGGGCGGAGGCGGGGGAGGGGAGCCCAGGUGGCCGCAGAGGGUCCGGCUCCUCCCGACCUUCUGGGACAAAGCUGGCGAGUGGAGGCGUGGACCCAGCGGUCGAGACAGUGACCAGAGGGCAUGGCACAGCCACCCAGAAGCACAGGGGUACACUUAAAGCUCUGCUCCGACGAAACCAUUUAGUUUCCCUUGAAGAAGUGACUGAGAAAACACAACUCUGGAAAAACAAGGCUGAGUGUUGUGUAGCACGACCGGCCCUCCAGGACGCGGGGGUCCAGCAGCACCUGCGCCCCUCCCCCCAGUAA